UCUGUAUUUAUAAUAAUUUAUUCUACAACACAGGCAGCUGGAAGAGCCAGAGAUUGUUAAAUAUGCCACAGAGAUAGCAACAGAAGAUUCAAUUUAUAUGCAAACGACUUGAAACUUCAUGUAACAAAGUGUUUCUAAUAUUAUUAUGAUCUCGACAAAAGCCCUUGAUUCUUUAGGGAAAAACAGAGUGGCAGGUUGCUGGGGAAAGUUGCUAAUAGUUGUUUGCAACUAUGUAAGACCACAUAUGGUAUACUGGAAAAGUGGCCAGAAUUAUUCACAUUUCGUUAUAUUAAUGCCCUUAGCAGAAUGACUUUGCAGGUCUUUUCUUUAACAGGUAGAGAUUCUUUCCUUACCUUGAAUCUAAACUGGUCUGGUGACUUGCUUUGGCUGCUAGAAUGAGGCAGAAGUGAUGUUCUAGUAGUUCCUAGCUUCGGAUUCAAGAGGCCUUGCAUGCAUGCCUCUGCUUGCUUUCUUGGACUUUUGCAAACUUCGUAUGAAUAAGCCAGACUAGCUUCCUGGAAGACCAGAGAUCACUUGGAUCAGAAUUGGUCAUCUGGUUGAUCCCAGCCAAAGUCUAAAACAUGUGAAAGAGCCUAUGCAAGCUCAGUGAAAUCAAACCUCAACAAACCUUCAGCUAACCCCCAGCUGACUGUAGCAGGUACAUAACUGAGGCUACCCUAGAUUUGCCAAGCCCACACUGGGUCAAUGACUCAUUAGCAAAAUAAAUGUUCAGGCUGGGUGCAGUGGCUUAUACCUGUAAUCCCGGCACUUUGGGGGGCCAA
RNAcentral lists this long non-coding RNA (782 nucleotides) under Homo sapiens (human). RNAcentral's name for it is "HSALNT0175372". The record is from RNAcentral. Lineage: Eukaryota; Metazoa; Chordata; Mammalia; Primates; Hominidae.